RNAcentral lists this non-coding RNA (45 nucleotides) under Trichobilharzia regenti. Lineage: Eukaryota; Metazoa; Platyhelminthes; Trematoda; Strigeidida; Schistosomatidae. The record is from RNAcentral.
AUCCAGAUGACUAGUCCCAAAUAGGACGAAAUGCGCAUCCUAGAU